AUCUCAUGAUAUAAAAAUGUAGCAAUUCUAUAUUCUUCUAUAUCCUAAAUAUCUUUUAUCGAAAUUCUCGAAAUUUAAGCUUCCUCAAAAACUUCCAACAUAGAAAUCGAACAUGGAACAAAUUUACCUCGACUCGUGCGACUCCUAAUGCACGUGAAUUUCAAUUCUCGAUAUUCUCAAUUGUACGUUGUUACAUGGACGCAAGGAUCUCGAGCAAAGGUCAUUACACAUAGGCUUAAUCAAGAUGCCUCGUAUCAAUGCCGCUAGGUCAAACGGUUUCGCAAUUCGCGACCCUCCUCCUGGAUGGAAUAAAACCGGGCAUCGUGGCUGUUGCACCCGGUUAAAUCAUAUGAUUCUGCGACCUGGCUCGUUCGAAAGACCGGCACGCGUCCACGCAGUUAUUAUUACUUUUAUGUAAGAGGCGGGGAGGGGGGAGGGCGGAUGGACGAGGGCGCUUUUAUCACGCUUUCGUCACGCUGAACGAUAGAACGAUUGUCCAGGAUCCGACUGACUCACUGGCGCUUCGAUUUCCACGUGGUUCUUUCUUCCACAAAUACUUUCCUUCGUUUUUUCUGAGAUCAUGACGAAUAUUUUCUCGAUAUUCUGGCACGAGGAGAUGAUUGAUAUCUGUUACAAGUUGUUAAGAAACUUGGUCUUUUGUGAUGAUACAACUGGACUCCCUUAAUGUAAUCCCAGAUUUGCGAAGUACGAGCUUACGAAACGAGCACAUGACUCGAUCUGGCGAUUGCAGAUAACACAUGCUUUAUAUCAAUUUAUAUCAAUACCUCGCGACCUUUCAUCAAACUAUCUUCACGUAGAUUAUUUUCAUAUAAAAUGGAUCUCAUCACUCUUGCGAUUUAAGUAAUCCCGUUUCCUAAUCUCCAAGUGUACACGAUUUCAUUUCAAUACAAAGAUCUCUCGUCGAGAAGAGAGAAGAGGAAGAAAAGUAAACGAAGAGUAGACUCGACAAACGUGCCUACAAUUUCAUCCCUAUUAAUUCUAAAUUUCCUAAUCAUUUUCAGAAAAUAUAGAUCCACUAUCCAGUAUAUUCUAUCAAUAUAAAUUUUCGAAUUAAUAUUAAAAAUAACCACUAAUCAAAUCUAUUUCCGACGAAUUAUUUAUUACUUUAUUCCACAAUAAUUAUAUAUACACGAUUUGUUUUUUUUUUUGUUUUAUUACACGAAAUAUGCACUGUUGAUCGAUUCUUCCUCGAACGCUCUUACAAUCCCAACUGCACAACCAGAUGAAAUGAUUCGUUUAACCAGACGAACACCAGUUUUCGGCCAAUCGCAUGAGGAGGCAAUGAGGAGCGACCCGAUUUCCAGGAAUCCCUGUUCCGUUUCUUCUAAGCGCGCCUGUGUUUCCUGGUACAUCCCGCCAUUGAUAAUCUAAAUAUAAACGCCACCAAGUCGGCCGCGUAGGAAAGCGUGCCGCUCCCCGGUUGACCUCAUCCGCGGGUUCCAUGGGGUUAUCGGCUUGUAACUCGCUUCCCUUAUCGGUUAUCAUUGCCCCGUCGGCGCCGUGACCGCCGAAAAAAUGUACCCGUCGGUCUCACCGGCCGAUUCAAACAUGGAGGACACGGGUUUCUGAAGAAUCUACAAUGUGCUCUUUUUUUUUUUUUUUUUUUUUUUUUCUCUAAGUAUCUUACGGUACCUUAAAUUAGAUAAAAUUCUCUCAGUCUUGAUUGUCCUCAUUGAAAAUAGGGAGAGUCUUUUUUUUUUUUUCUUUUUUUUUUGGAGGGAUGAGAUAACGGAAAGUUUUAUGGUGGAUUCAGGGUGAAGAUUGGAAGAGAUUGGAAGAGGUCAAUUUUUUUAGUUGUUUUGAACAUUUGAAGAUUGAUUGAGGGUAAAUGGGGAUGGGGUUCAAGGGUUUCUAAGGGUUUCAGAUUACACGCCUAAUUAUUUGUGAGAUGUAUUGAUUAUCGAUGUGAUUAGAGAUUUGGAUAUAUUUGUUGGAAAGUUAAUGCGUGCAAAUAUGGGAUAUAAAAAUAUUGUUAUUUGAUGAAACGUAUCUAUAUUUAAUUAAAAUUUCAUUUUUUGUAAAGUUUUAAUUCUAAAUUGGAUAAUUUGAUACAAAUAUGGAACGAAGUACAAAGUUUUUGUUAAUUGAUUAUAAUGAUGAACAAAAAAAUUGUGCAGAAGUAAAACCAAAAUAAAAGAAAGAUAUACAAAUUAUCCAAACAUUGUAAAAUAAAAAUAUUUUGUACAUAUUUUCUACGUAUAUCUGUAUGUAAAAAAAUUGAAGAUUGAUAAAAGAUAUAUUUAAAAAAAAAAAGAUUAUUUCUCGAUACACUGAUUAUACUCGAGUACAAGUUUAUUUUUAUGAUUGGCCAACUCAGAUCGAUAUUUUUAGUAAAAUGUACGACCAAAAGAGGAUCCCGUUAUCUCGCUUAUCUUUGGGACCUAAAGGGAUCCAAUUAUGCGGUCAUAAUUUUCGGAAUCAAAUUCCAUGGGCCCCCCCUUAUGACUUCAUAGAAUCGUAGUAUAUUUCUUGUUUUUCCAAGGAAUCUCAUAAAAAUCUAAAAAUACUCUAAAAUGAUCUUUAAAUGAAUAUCUCGGGAAUAAGGUAUUACAGCCUUAUUUUCCCUCUGUGCAACGAAGCUAUAAAUCAAAUAACGUGGUAUACCACUUUCCAAUUAUAGAUCAUGAAAUUUAUUUCUUAUGAUAAUGCUCUCCUAAAAUACUUUACUGGCGCCUUUUGAUCUAAUUUUAUUUAUCUAAGGAGGAAAAUAAAAAAAGAAACACACGGAAUCUGUUGUUCGAACGGGAAAAAAUGCAAAAGUAGAUAAGAUUGGUAAUUGGAAAAAUUGAAAAAGAAUUUCUAAUCUCGUUUAUGAUAAAUUUAACCAACAAGAUUUAUUCGAAUUUUCGAACGUCCUACGAUUCUAUCCUUAUCCCAAUUUAUCAAUUAUAAUGCUACUCCAUUUUUUCAAAUGAUAUAAAAAAAAUUGUACAACAGAUAUAAUAUAAUUUUCGUCAUACAAAUUAAUAAUUUUAAUUACGAUAUCGUUAUCGAAUAUCAAUUUAUGAAUUUAUCGUUGAAAGAUGGAUCGUGCUUAUUGAAAUGAAAAAAAAAAAAAAGAAAUCUUACUAAUUAAGUGAAUCGACGUAUACAUCUUUUGCAUAUAAUCAAUUUGCAAAUCGUUCAACUGUCAAAGACUUGGAAUGAAUCAUUUGAAAUGAAACAUUACUCAAUUUUUAGAUCAAUAAGAGACAUAUGUGCAAAAGAUUUUAAGGACUCGCGGAUUCAUAAUAGUUUUUCCGCGAAAGAAUCGAAAAUAUACUGAGGGGUGACGUGACGGCGUUAAAAACGACUAUAAAGCCGAUUUACAAGCUCGUAACUUAGAAUAUUAAAACGAUUAUAAAAUUAAAA
RNAcentral lists this long non-coding RNA (3372 nucleotides) under Apis mellifera (honey bee). RNAcentral describes it as "uncharacterized LOC107964872". Lineage: Eukaryota; Metazoa; Arthropoda; Insecta; Hymenoptera; Apidae. The record is from RNAcentral.